Molecule: ribosomal RNA, 385 nt
Filed under: Klebsiella pneumoniae
Lineage: Bacteria; Pseudomonadati; Pseudomonadota; Gammaproteobacteria; Enterobacterales; Enterobacteriaceae
Description: bacterial LSU rRNA
Rfam family: Bacterial large subunit ribosomal RNA
Source: RNAcentral
UUUGUAUAAUGGGUCAGCGACUUAUAUUCUGUAGCAAGGUUAACCGUAUAGGGGAGCCGCAGGGAAACCGAGUCUUAACUGGGCGUUAAGUUGCAGGUAUAGACCCGAAACCCGGUGAUCUAGCCAUGGGCAGGUUGAAGGUUGGGUAACACUAACUGGAGGACCGAACCGACUAAUGUUGAAAAAUUAGCGGAUGACUUGUGGCUGGGGGUGAAAGGCCAAUCAAACCGGGAGAUAGCUGGUUCUCCCCGAAAGCUAUUUAGGUAGCGCCUCGUGAAUUCAUCUUCGGGGGUAGAGCACUGUUUCGGCUAGGGGGUCAUCCCGACUUACCAACCGAUGCAAACUACGAAUACCGAAGAAUGUUAUCACGGGAGACACACGGCGG